Molecule: non-coding RNA, 72 nt
Organism: Cervus elaphus (red deer)
Lineage: Eukaryota; Metazoa; Chordata; Mammalia; Artiodactyla; Cervidae
Source: the annotation of a RefSeq genome assembly
UCCCUGGUGGUCCAGUGGUUAGGACUCAGCAUUUUCACUGCUGGGGCCCAGGUUUGAUCCCUGGUCAGAGAA